Long non-coding RNA from Hypomesus transpacificus, 1246 nucleotides. RefSeq lists it as uncharacterized. Lineage: Eukaryota; Metazoa; Chordata; Actinopteri; Osmeriformes; Osmeridae. The transcript has 4 exons. The record is from RefSeq and is a predicted model, not a curated record.
AGCGCCACAUAAGCACUCGCCUACAUUUUCUAAUAGAAGCAAGGACUUUGGAACGCAGCCAAGAUGCCCGGAAAAGGUAAUAAAUCGGACAAGAAAUCAGCUACCAAGCAACCUCAGAGUCCUAAGGAACAGCCAAAGAAAGGUGAUCAGAAAGGAGAUGAUAACAAACAAAAGCAAGGAGGAGAGCCGAAGGGAGAGAAGCAAUAACUUCCAGGCAUUUGUAAAGAUGGCUUUGGAGACACUGCUGGGAUCCUGCCACCGCAAGCAUGGGGGUCCUCCGGGCAGGCAAGGAUGAGAACAAGCUCUCCUCCCUUCCCCUCUUUUUCCCUGGACCUGCAGACAAGGCUUCUAUCUUGUCUAGUCUAACAUCAGCACUCAUCUGGUCUCCUCACUCUGAGGCAGAACAUGAACUUGAUCUCCAUCCAUCACUGUUGUUCACCUACCCAAUGCCAGUCCCCUCACCUUCCAUCCUGUUUCCUUCCCUCCAACGCUCUGCUCUGGCCAGACUGAAGCUUGGGAAAACACACAACGUCAUGUCAUGCUCAGGAUCUGAGCUUUAAACUCAACCCUUUAACCAAACUGUCUUUCCCUAUCUUAACCCACCUCUCCCCCAAACUCCAUUAUUUGACUAACUGUCUAAUGGUCCAAUCCAUUUGUAUAAAUACAUAAGAUAAUAAAUGACUAUCUCAUAAAGCAAUCCAGCAGUUGCUUGAUAAAUAUGUUAUGUCAUGUGGCCGCAAAAAAAACAAGAAUGGCAAUUUAAAUAUCUUACCAAAUUUUAUUAAAAGCUCCUGUCAGUAACUUAAUAUCUAAAGUAAAAGUUCCACAACAAAGAAACUAAAUGUUAUCAAUAUUUUAGAAGAGUGGAAAGAGGAUGUGUGGUAAGGCUGUACACUUGUGCAUUUUAUCAUUUGUAACAUGAAUAAUGAAACAUGCCUAUAGUCCACACCAUACUGAAUACUUGUCACUUUAUAACCAUGGAGAUACAGGAGAGUCCUACAUUUAAUGUUACAACAAUAAAAUGGGAACACAUCUUGAAAAUGUUCUGAUGUACAAUUACUGAUCAGGCAACCACAUUGAAAGGAUCAAAUGACACAUACUAAACGUAAAAUAACAUACCACAAUAAAUUAUUCUAUUAUUGAAUAUGAUAAAAUAAUAACAGCCUGUCAUUUGCAAAAACAUUCUGGAUUGUAAGUAACAAUGAAAUUGAAUUCUUCUUUAAACCUCUUAUCUGUGCUUUAUCUA